UACAAUCAUGGUUAUAAGGAUGGCCAGAAC
This 30-nucleotide non-coding RNA is filed under the name Mus musculus (house mouse). Lineage: Eukaryota; Metazoa; Chordata; Mammalia; Rodentia; Muridae. The record is from RNAcentral.